This 596-nucleotide ribosomal RNA is filed under the name Filobasidium magnum. Its description in RNAcentral is "LSU rRNA". It matches the Rfam family "Eukaryotic large subunit ribosomal RNA", at positions 29 to 634 of the family's 3401-position model. Lineage: Eukaryota; Fungi; Basidiomycota; Tremellomycetes; Filobasidiales; Filobasidiaceae. The record is from RNAcentral.
UGAACUUAAGCAUAUCAAUAAGCGGAGGAAAAGAAACUAACAAGGAUUCCCCUAGUAACGGCGAGUGAAGCGGGAAGAGCUCAAAUUUGAAAUCUGGUGGCCUCAGGUCAUCCGAGUUGUAAUCUAUAGAAGUGUUUUCCGUGCUGGCUCAUGUACAAGUCCCUUGGAACAGGGCGUCAUAGAGGGUGAGAAUCCCGUCCUUGACAUGAACUACCAGUGCUCUGUGAUACAUUUUCAACGAGUCGAGUUGUUUGGGAAUGCAGCUCAAAAUGGGUGGUAAAUUCCAUCUAAAGCUAAAUAUUGGCGAGAGACCGAUAGCGAACAAGUACCGUGAGGGAAAGAUGAAAAGCACUUUGGAAAGAGAGUUAAACAGUAUGUGAAAUUGUUGAAAGGGAAACGAUUGAAGUCAGUCGUGCUCUUUGGAUUCAGCCGGUUCUGCCGGUGUACUUCCUUUGAGUGGGGUCAACAUCAGUUUUGAUCGCUGGAUAAAGGCUGGAGGAACGUAGUACCCUCGGGUAAACUUAUAGCCUCCUGUCACAUACAGUGGUUGGGACUGAGGAACGCAGCACGCCUUUAUGGCCGGGAUUCGUCCACGU